Molecule: transfer RNA, 74 nt
Filed under: Marmoricola endophyticus
Lineage: Bacteria; Bacillati; Actinomycetota; Actinomycetes; Propionibacteriales; Nocardioidaceae
Description: tRNA-Lys
Rfam family: tRNA
About the family: Transfer RNA (tRNA) molecules are approximately 80 nucleotides in length. Their secondary structure includes four short double-helical elements and three loops (D, anti-codon, and T loops).
Source: RNAcentral
GCGCCAAUAGCUCAAUGGUAGAGCAGCUGACUCUUAAUCAGCGGGUUCGGGGUUCGAGUCCCUGUUGGCGCACC